This 492-nucleotide ribosomal RNA is filed under the name uncultured bacterium. RNAcentral describes it as "partial 16S ribosomal RNA". It matches the Rfam family "Bacterial small subunit ribosomal RNA", at positions 29 to 507 of the family's 1533-position model. The record is from RNAcentral.
AGUGAACGCUGGCGGUAGGCCUAACACAUGCAAGUCGAACGGCAGCACAGUAAGAGCUUGCUCUUACGGGUGGCGAGUGGCGGACGGGUGAGGAAUACAUCGGAAUCUACUUUUUCGUGGGGGAUAACGUAGGGAAACUUACGCUAAUACCGCAUACGACCUACGGGUGAAAGCAGGGGAUCUUCGGACCUUGCGCGAUUGAAUGAGCCGAUGCCGGAUUAGCUAGUUGGCGGGGUAAAGGCCCACCAAGGCGACGAUCCGUAGCUGGUCUGAGAGGAUGAUCAGCCACAAUGGAACUUAGACACGGUCCAGACUCCUACGGGAGGCAGCAGUGGGGAAUAUUGGACAAUGGGCGCAAGCCUGAUCCAGCCAUACCGCGUGGGUGAAGAAGGCCUUCGGGUUGUAAAGCCCUUUUGUUGGGAAAGAAAAGCAGCAGGUUAAUACCCCGCUGUUCUGACGGUACCCAAAGAAUAAGCACCGGCUAACUUCGUG